RNAcentral lists this small nuclear RNA (164 nucleotides) under Cebus imitator (Panamanian white-faced capuchin). RNAcentral's name for it is "U1 spliceosomal RNA (ENSCCAG00000006689.1)". It matches the Rfam family "U1 spliceosomal RNA". From Rfam's summary of the family: U1 is a small nuclear RNA (snRNA) component of the spliceosome (involved in pre-mRNA splicing). Lineage: Eukaryota; Metazoa; Chordata; Mammalia; Primates; Cebidae. The record is from Rfam by way of RNAcentral.
AUACUUGCGUGGCAGGGGAGAUACUAUGAUCACGAAGGUGGUUUUCCCAGGGCGAGGCUUAUCCAUUGCACUCCAGAUGUACUGACCCCUGCGAUUUCCCCAAAUGUGGGAAACUCGACUGCAUAAUUUGUGGUAGUGGGGGACUGCAUUUGUGCUUUCCCCUG